RNAcentral lists this microRNA precursor (80 nucleotides) under Danaus plexippus plexippus. Its description in RNAcentral is "mir-981 microRNA precursor family". It matches the Rfam family "mir-981 microRNA precursor family". The record is from Rfam by way of RNAcentral. Lineage: Eukaryota; Metazoa; Arthropoda; Insecta; Lepidoptera; Nymphalidae.
CCGCACAUAAUUCGGGUUUCGGGACGAUGGAACCGUGUAUAGACCUGGUUCGUUGUCGACGAAACCUGCAAAAUGUGCGG